RNAcentral lists this ribosomal RNA (491 nucleotides) under uncultured bacterium. RNAcentral's name for it is "partial 16S ribosomal RNA". It matches the Rfam family "Bacterial small subunit ribosomal RNA", at positions 28 to 507 of the family's 1533-position model. The record is from RNAcentral.
GAUGAACGCUGGCUACAGGCUUAACACAUGCAAGUCGAGGGGAAACGACGGGGAAGCUUGCUUCCCCGGGCGUCGACCGGCGCACGGGUGAGUAACGCGUAUCCAACCUGCCUCUGACUGAGGGAUAACCCGUCGAAAGUCGGCCUAAUACCUCAUGGCAUCGUCUGCGGGCAUCCAACGACGAUUAAAGAUUUCAUCGGUCAGGGAUGGGGAUGCGUCUGAUUAGCUUGUUGGCGGGGUAACGGCCCACCAAGGCUACGAUCAGUAGGGGUUCUGAGAGGAAGGUCCCCCACAUUGGAACUGAGACACGGUCCAAACUCCUACGGGAGGCGGCAGUGAGGAAUAUUGGUCAAUGGGCGGGAGCCUGAACCAGCCAAGUAGCGUGCAGGAUGACGGCCCUAUGGGUUGUAAACUGCUUUUAUGCGGGGAUAAAGUGAGGGACGUGUCCUUCAUUGCAGGUACCGCAUGAAUAAGGACCGGCUAAUUCCGUG